This 562-nucleotide unclassified non-coding RNA is filed under the name Hevea brasiliensis (rubber tree). Lineage: Eukaryota; Viridiplantae; Streptophyta; Magnoliopsida; Malpighiales; Euphorbiaceae. The record is from RNAcentral.
AAAAGCUCUAUAUGUCGGUGAAGGUUCGGCAUCAGCGGUUUAUGCACUGCGAGAGUUGGGAUUUACCAAUGCUUGUGGAGCUCACCGACACCCCUUUUUCUCGCUUAAGCAUAAAAAGUUCGCUUAUGAGCUUCAAUAUACUGACAGUUCCUUUGAUUUUGUGUUCUCUAGGGACCUAGAUGACGUUUCGGUCCCUGCUGUUCUUGUGCUCGAGAUUGAGCGCGUUCUGAAGCCCGGUGGAAUUGGGGCUAUGCUUGUGGGGGUUAUUGGUUUGAACACAAAUGGCUUGAUUAGGUCUGCUACUCCGGUUUCAUCGUUAUUGAAAGCCUCCAAUGUGGUACAUGUUAGUUAUGUUCAUGAGUAUGCAUUGGUUGUUUUCCAGAAAAGAUUUGAAAAAGUUGGUUACUUCCAGCAAUUCCGCCUACCAUCUGAUUGCCAAUCUUUUAUGAAUAACAGACCUUUUAUGGAACAUCUAGAGCCCCUUGUGGAGAAGGAGGAAAUGAGGUUUGAGAAAAAGAUUUCAUUUCUGCCCAAUUUCAUUGAUGUGCUUUCUAGGAAGAAG